AACGCACCUUGCGCUCCUUGGUAUUCCGAGGAGCAUGCCUGUUUGAGUGUCGUGAAAUCUUCAACCUACAAGCCUUUGCGGGUUUGUUAGGCUUGGUUAUGGAGGUUUGUCGGCCUUGCGGUCGGCUCCUCUUAAAUGCAUUAGCUUGAUUUCUUGCGAAUCGGCUCUCGGUGUGAUAGUUGUCUACGCCGCGACCGUGAAGCGUUUGGCAAGCUUCUAACCGUCUCAUGAGAGACAGCUUCUUGACAUCUGACCUCAAAUCAGGUAGGACUACCCGCUGAACUUAA
This 287-nucleotide unclassified non-coding RNA is filed under the name uncultured fungus. RNAcentral's name for it is "partial contains 5.8S ribosomal RNA, internal transcribed spacer 2, and large subunit ribosomal RNA". The stretch from base 1 to 52 matches the Rfam family "5.8S ribosomal RNA", at positions 103 to 154 of the family's 154-position model. The record is from RNAcentral. Lineage: Eukaryota; Fungi.